UACGAGGGAGCUAGCGUUGUUCGGAAUCACUGGGCGUAAAGCGCACGUAGGUGGAUUAGUAAGUCAGGGUGAAAGCCCAGAGCUCAACUCUGGAAUUGCCCUUGAUACUGCUAGUCUAGAGUUUGGGAGAGGUAAGCGGAAUUCCAAGUGUAGAGGUGAAAUUCGUAGAUAUUCGGAGGAACACCAGAGGCGAAGGCGGCUUACUGGCCCAAUACUGACACUGAGGUGCGAAAGCGUGGGGAGCAAACAGG
This 251-nucleotide ribosomal RNA is filed under the name uncultured bacterium. Its description in RNAcentral is "partial 16S ribosomal RNA". It matches the Rfam family "Bacterial small subunit ribosomal RNA", at positions 524 to 776 of the family's 1533-position model. The record is from RNAcentral.